This 261-nucleotide ribosomal RNA is filed under the name Triticum aestivum (bread wheat). Its description in RNAcentral is "partial small subunit ribosomal RNA". Lineage: Eukaryota; Viridiplantae; Streptophyta; Magnoliopsida; Poales; Poaceae. The record is from RNAcentral.
UGUAGUGUGAAUGAUGAUGCAUACAUGUCAACUAUGGGUGUUGGCUCGAACAAUUCGCAUUGGUAUCAAACCAAUGACAUGCAUUUUGAAGACCAUGAGUUCGAGGUGGACGAGGAUGGUGAGGGCAUUGUCGACGCACCGAAAGGAAGAGCAGGCAAUUACACCAACGCCGAAGACAUCUUACUAUGCAAUACUUGGUUGCAAGUGUCAAGGGAUCUAUCCGUUGAAGGUGAUCAAAGUAGAGAUGCUUAUUGUCUCUGA